AUGGGGAAUCUGGAAAGAAACCGGCUGUGGGAGCGAGGGGAAGGGUUGGGGAAAGAAGGAGGGGUGCAGCCUGAGGAAAGGCGAGUAAAGCAGCUGGCAAGGGCGGGAGGAAGAGGCUGCGCUCAGACCGAGUGGGGGAGAGGCUGGCAGGAGCGAGGAGAGCUGCAGGCGAGAGGGGGAGGCUGCUGGAAGGAAGCACCGGCGAACGCGGGCAGGGGAACUUCAGAGGAGGCUGCCAAAAAGGACUGGAGCUGCAGCAGUGCGAGGCAGUGGACAAGGGGGGCAGCAACCACCAGCCCUUGGCAGCCAGCAGAGGGGAAGAGGAGCCCACGGGAAAGAAAAGCAGGCGAGGUUAAGAAUAAAGAGUGUUCCAGGUAUGACAGCUACCUCGGUGAGGUGGAAGAGAGAAUUGACAAGGCAGAUUUCAUGGGUCUCACUCUGUUACCUAGGCUGAAGUAUAGUGGAGGUUGCGGUGAGCCGAGUUCGUGCCAUUGCACUCCAGCCUGGGUAACAAGAGCGAAACUCCGUCUCAAAAAAAAAAAAAAAAAAAAAAGAUGUAAAUGA
This 564-nucleotide long non-coding RNA is filed under the name Callithrix jacchus (white-tufted-ear marmoset). Its description in RNAcentral is "lncRNA (ENSCJAG00000063306.2)". Lineage: Eukaryota; Metazoa; Chordata; Mammalia; Primates; Cebidae. The record is from RNAcentral.